UGGUGGGUAGUUUGACUGGGGCGGUCUCCUCCCAAAGAGUAACGGAGGAGCACGAAGGUUAGCUAAUCCUGGUCGGACAUCAGGAGGUUAGUGCAAUGGCAUAAGCUAGCUUGACUGCGAGAGUGACGGCUCGAGCAGGUGCGAAAGCAGGUCAUAGUGAUCCGGUGGUUCUGAAUGGAAGGGCCAUCGCUCAACGGAUAAAAGGUACUCCGGGGAUAACAGGCUGAUACCGCCCAAGAGUUCAUAUCGACGGCGGUGUUUGGCACCUCGAUGUCGGCUCAUCACAUCCUGGGGCUGAAGUAGGUCCCAAGGGUAUGGCUGUUCGCCAUUUAAAGUGGUACGCGAGCUGGGUUUAGAACGUCGUGAGACAGUUCGGUCCCUAUCUGCCGUGGGCGCUGGAGAAUUGAGGGGGGCUGCUCCUAGUACGAGAGGACCGGAGUGGACGCAUCACUGGUGUUCGGGUUGUCAUGCCAAUGGCACUGCCCGGUAGCUAAAUGCGGAAAAGAUAAGUGCUGAAAGCAUCUAAGCACGAAACUUGCCCCGAGAUGAGUUC
RNAcentral lists this ribosomal RNA (553 nucleotides) under Enterobacter asburiae. RNAcentral's name for it is "partial 23S ribosomal RNA". It matches the Rfam family "Bacterial large subunit ribosomal RNA", at positions 2259 to 2811 of the family's 2925-position model. The record is from RNAcentral. Lineage: Bacteria; Pseudomonadati; Pseudomonadota; Gammaproteobacteria; Enterobacterales; Enterobacteriaceae.